CGGCGCUACACCGUUGUUCAAAUACUUAUAAUUGCAAGAAACCCCCGACUAGGACCAGCAGUCAUUGAUGUUAGCAUGUACUACACAAAGAAAAACAGGCAAAGCAUGAAGCCAAAGGAAAUGUUUUUACCAAGGCAUGUUCCUCAAUAGCGGAGAGAGUUUUAUCCAGUGUCGGUUCUGCAGAAGAACCCAUUCAUAGCAGACCACCCAUUGCAGCACUUGUAAGGUCGCUAUAAAGAACCCGACAGACUCUGCGACCAAAAGAUCCCACUGACGUGUCGUCAAGCAUAAGUACUCAUGCAAUUAAA
Patella vulgata (common limpet) is the source of this 308-nucleotide long non-coding RNA. RefSeq lists it as uncharacterized. The transcript has 3 exons. The record is from RefSeq and is a predicted model, not a curated record. Lineage: Eukaryota; Metazoa; Mollusca; Gastropoda; Patellidae.